RNAcentral lists this ribosomal RNA (432 nucleotides) under uncultured bacterium. Its description in RNAcentral is "bacterial SSU rRNA". It matches the Rfam family "Bacterial small subunit ribosomal RNA", at positions 29 to 507 of the family's 1533-position model. The record is from RNAcentral.
AACGAACGCUGGCGGCAGGCCUAACACAUGCAAGUCGAGCGCCCCGCAAGGGGAGCGGCGGACGGGUGAGUAACGCGUGGGAACGUACCCUUUGCUACGGAAUAGCCUCGGGAAACUGGGAGUAAUACCGUAUGUGCCCUUCGGGGGAAAGAUUUAUCGGCAAAGGAUCGGCCCGCGUUGGAUUAGGUAGUUGGUGGGGUAAUGGCCUACCAAGCCGACGAUCCAUAGCUGGUUUGAGAGGAUGAUCAGCCACACUGGGACUGAGACACGGCCCAGACUCCUACGGGAGGCAGCAGGUGGGGAAUCUUAGACAAUGGGGGAAACCCUGAUCCAGCAAUGCCGCGUGCGUGAAGAAGGCCUUAGGGUUGUAAAGCGCUUUCACCUGUGAUGAUGAUGACAGUAGCAGGAGAAGAAGCCCCGGCUAACUCCGUG